RNAcentral lists this ribosomal RNA (492 nucleotides) under uncultured bacterium. RNAcentral describes it as "partial 16S ribosomal RNA". It matches the Rfam family "Bacterial small subunit ribosomal RNA", at positions 29 to 507 of the family's 1533-position model. The record is from RNAcentral.
AGUGAACGCUGGCGGUAGGCCUAACACAUGCAAGUCGAACGGCAGCACAGUAAGAGCUUGCUCUUACGGGUGGCGAGUGGCGGAGGGGUGAGGAAUACAUCGGAAUCUACUUUUUCGUGGGGGAUAACGUCGGGAAACUUACGCUAAUACCGCAUACGACCUACGGGUGAAAGCAGGGGAUCUUCGGACCUUGCGCGAUUGAAUGAGUCGAUGUCGGAUUAGCUCGUUGGCGGGGUAAAGGCCCACCAAGGCGACGAUCCGUAGCUGGUCUGAGAGGAUGAUCAGCCACACUGGAACUGAGACACGGUCCAGACUCCUACGGGAGGCAGCAGUGGGGAAUAUUGGACAAUGGGCGCAAGCCUGAUCCAGCCAUACCGCGUGGGUGAAGAAGGCCUUCGGGUUGUAAAGCCCUUUUGUUGGGAAAGAAAAGCAGCAGGUUAAUACCCCGCUGUUCUGACGGUACCCAAAGAAUAAGCACCGGCUAACUUCGUG